RNAcentral lists this non-coding RNA (28 nucleotides) under Homo sapiens (human). The record is from RNAcentral. Lineage: Eukaryota; Metazoa; Chordata; Mammalia; Primates; Hominidae.
UGGCUGCAGCUGAGUGUGACCCAUGGGA